CUACGGGGCGCAGCAGUGAGGAAUAUUGCACAAUGGGGGGAACCCUGAUGCAGCAACGCCGCGUGGAGGAUGACGCAUUUCGGUGUGCAAACUCCUUCUAUAUGUCAAGAAAAUGACGGUAGCAUAUGAAUAAGCACCGGCUAACUCCGUGCCAGCAGCCGCGGUAAUACGGAGGGUGCAAGCGUUACUCGGAAUCACUGGGCGUAAAGGACGCGUAGGCGGGUUGGAAAGUCAGGUGUGAAAUCCUACAGCUUAACUGUAGAACUGCACUUGAAACUUCUAAUCUAGAGUAUGGGAGGGGGAGAUGGAAUUAGUGGUGUAGGGGUAAAAUCCGUAGAUAUCACUAGGAAUACCUAAAGCGAAGGCGAUCUCCUGGAACAUUACUGACGCUAAGGCGUGAAAGCGUGGGGAGCAAACAGGAUUAGAUACCCUAGUAGUC
RNAcentral lists this ribosomal RNA (439 nucleotides) under uncultured bacterium. RNAcentral describes it as "partial 16S ribosomal RNA". It matches the Rfam family "Bacterial small subunit ribosomal RNA", at positions 339 to 795 of the family's 1533-position model. The record is from RNAcentral.